GCCNNNACNAACGCUGGCGGCGUGCCUAAUACAUGCAAGUAGAACGCUGAAGGACGGAGCUUGCUUCUCUGGAUGAGUUGCGAACGGGUGAGUAACGCGUAGGUAACCUGCCUGGUAGCGGGGGAUAACUAUUGGAAACGAUAGCUAAUACCGCAUAASAGUAGAUGUYGCAUGACAUUUGCUUAAAAGGUGCAAUUGCAUCACUACCAGAUGGACCUGCGUUGUAUUAGCUAGUUGGUGGGGUAACGGCUCACCAAGGCGACGAUACAUAGCCGACCUGAGAGGGUGAUCGGCCACACUGGGACUGAGACACGGCCCAGACUCCUACGGGAGGCAGCAGU
Molecule: ribosomal RNA, 341 nt
Filed under: uncultured Streptococcus SS5
Lineage: Bacteria; Bacillati; Bacillota; Bacilli; Lactobacillales; Streptococcaceae
Description: bacterial SSU rRNA
Rfam family: Bacterial small subunit ribosomal RNA
Source: RNAcentral